This is a small nucleolar RNA of Malus domestica (apple), 87 nucleotides long. The record is from RefSeq and is a predicted model, not a curated record. Lineage: Eukaryota; Viridiplantae; Streptophyta; Magnoliopsida; Rosales; Rosaceae.
GGGAAUGAUGGUACCUGCAGUGGUCUCUGGGCAGUUUGGGAUUGCAAUUGUCGAUGGAAAUGCAGCCUAGAAUGCUAUUUAUGAUCC